GAAAUUAAUAUACUUAACUGAGUUAGAAACCAGGGUAGUACGCCUAGCAAUGAGUACUUAAACAAAUCCUCCUGGGGAUUCUGAUGUACACUCAAGUUUCGGAUACACUGGUCUAGAGUAAUUGAAUAAAUGGGAUUCUGCUGUACACUCAAGGUUCAGAUACACUGGUCUAGAGUAAUUGAAUUGUGGCUGGCUGAAGACAUGGGUAUUUUUUUCCCCAGGACAGCAGAAGCCUCCCCUGGACCUGCAAAUAGACCAGUGCAGGCAUUGAACAUCUGGGGCAAGACUAGAGUCUCCCAGCAGCCCCAGGCUUUAAAUCUGAUUCUCCUCCUUCAAUUACUGCUUAUCUUCAGAAAAGCCAUGCACCUCACGAACGUCACCUGUCAGUGGCCACCCUACCUUGAUCUUGCUGGUGGGUGAGGAUGAGAGAGUUCAUAAUGUAUGACCUGAAACUGGUCCUGAGGAAACAUCAGAUGGACCACGUUGAGCAUCACACUGCAGAAUGUAGGGCUGCAUUCUUCCAAACUGUUGGGAUGGUGAAAGUCAGGGAAAGACUGAGGAAUUGCUCCAAACUGGGGCAGACUGCAAAGAUGUGACAAUUAAAUGCAACGUGUAACUCGG
RNAcentral lists this non-coding RNA (621 nucleotides) under Pan troglodytes (chimpanzee). Lineage: Eukaryota; Metazoa; Chordata; Mammalia; Primates; Hominidae. The record is from RNAcentral.